UACCCACAUUCAUAUAUAUUCACACAGAUUCUGGACCUUGCAAUAAUUUGAAUUCCAAAAUUCAAGUUCCCUGUUCUGUUCAAGUGUUCUACCCAGACAAUCAUGCCCCUCUCCCCACCCUCUACUCCAGAAUUCUGAGCCCUAGCUCAGUGGGUUCCUUGGGAAGAUAGCAUGGCCAUUUUUUGCUGGCUGAAUAGGCCUGAGGAGAUGAAGAGAAGGUCAAGAUUUGUGGCACAAAAGAGGGACCGGGGACACACAAUUCAAAUGGGCUUUAUAUUGCAGACAUCAUAACUCAGAGGGAUCAGAGGAGAAAGACAGCAGUGAAGGAAAGGAGCUGACUGAAUUCUCUCCAACUCUGUAAAGAUGUGAGGAGGUGGUAUGUCUGGAAGCCAUGAACAUCCCUAAAGCAUCACCCUACCUAACCCCAGGACAUAGAUUGAGUUUUCUGCAGUACAUGGCAAGGACUGGCCCUGUAUUUCGUCUAUUCCUUCUGGAAGCUGAAAUAAUAAACCAUUGUGAGGA
Felis catus (domestic cat) is the source of this 522-nucleotide long non-coding RNA. RefSeq lists it as uncharacterized. The record is from RefSeq and is a predicted model, not a curated record. The transcript has 2 exons. NCBI's taxonomy places the organism in Eukaryota, Metazoa, Chordata, Mammalia, Carnivora, Felidae.